UCCCGUUUAGCUCAGUUGGUAGAGCGCGUCACUAGUAUAAAGUGAUGACGAGGUCAGUCGUUCAAAUCGGCUAACGGGAA
Molecule: non-coding RNA, 80 nt
Organism: Amylocystis lapponica
Lineage: Eukaryota; Fungi; Basidiomycota; Agaricomycetes; Polyporales; Postiaceae
Source: the annotation of a GenBank genome assembly